CCUGCUCCCCUUUCAUCAAUGCACAGACACAGAAGACCCCUCCGUCAUGCAGCAUCUGCCAUGAGCAUCGGCUUCCUGUGCUGUGUGGCCUUUUCUCUCCUGUGGGCAGGUCCAGUGAAUGCUGGUGUCACUCAGACCCCAAAAUUCCAGGUCCUGAAGACAGGACAGAGCAUGACACUGCAGUGUGCCCAGGAUAUGAACCAUGACUACAUGUACUGGUAUCGACAAGACCCAGGCAUGGGGCUGAGGCUGAUUCAUUACUCAGUUGGUGCUGGUAUCACUGACAAAGGAGAAGUCCCCAAUGGCUACAAUGUCUCCAGAUCAAACACAGAGGAUUUCCCGCUCAGGCUGCAGUCGGCUGCUCCCUCCCAGACAUCUGUGUACUUCUGUGCCAGCAGUUACUCCACAGCGCUACAAGGCCAUCUCCUCUCUGCACAUAAAGGCAGGGAGGCUCUGCCCUCCUCCCCCACCCAAGACUCAGGGAUGCCCUGGGCAGAGUUCUCUACACCAGGAACCUUGGAACCCAGAGUGGCCCCAAGUGGCCCGGACAGGUCUUUCCCCACAACAAAGCGAGACAGAUCAGAGAUCCACUUCAAGAAUUCCAUCCUUAAAGGUUGUUCCUUGAAACCACUUCUGACUACCAUCAAACAAAUAGAUCCCCAGUAUGAAGAACAUAAGGACAUAUUAGGAGCUAGCAAUGAGGAAAUGUGA
Molecule: non-coding RNA, 711 nt
Organism: Gorilla gorilla gorilla (western lowland gorilla)
Lineage: Eukaryota; Metazoa; Chordata; Mammalia; Primates; Hominidae
Source: the annotation of a RefSeq genome assembly